GAUGAAGAACGUAGCAAAAUGCGAUAAGUAAUGUGAAUUGCAGAAUUCAGUGAAUCAUCGAAUUUUUGAACGCACAUUGCGCCCGCCAGUAUUCUGGCGGGCAUGCCUGUUCGAGCGUCAUUUCAACCCUCAAGCACAGCUUGGUGUUGGGACUCGCGUUAAUUCGCGUUCCCCAAAUUGAUUGGCGGUCACGUCGAGCUUCCAUAGCGUAGUAGUAAAACCCUCGUUACUGGUAAUCGUCGCGGCCACGCCGUUAAACCCCAACUUCUGAAUGUUGACCUCGGAUCAGGUAGGAAUACCCGCUGAACUUAAGCAUAUCAAUAAGCGGAGGA
Molecule: unclassified non-coding RNA, 332 nt
Filed under: soil metagenome
Description: partial contains 5.8S ribosomal RNA, internal transcribed spacer 2, and large subunit ribosomal RNA
Rfam family: 5.8S ribosomal RNA (bases 1-120)
Source: RNAcentral